RNAcentral lists this ribosomal RNA (218 nucleotides) under uncultured bacterium. RNAcentral's name for it is "partial 16S ribosomal RNA". It matches the Rfam family "Bacterial small subunit ribosomal RNA", at positions 1283 to 1500 of the family's 1533-position model. The record is from RNAcentral.
UAGUCUCAGUUCAGAUUGCAGGCUGAAACUCGCCUGCAUGAAGUCGGAAUUGCUAGUAAUCGCAGAUCAGCAUGCUGCGGUGAAUACGUUCCCGGGCCUUGUACACACCGCCCGUCACACCAUGGGAGUCGGUAACACCCGAAGCCUGUGGGGUAACCUUUUGGAGCCAGCCGUCUAAGGUGGGACAGAUGAUUGGGGUGAAGUCGUAACAAGGUAUC